RNAcentral lists this ribosomal RNA (496 nucleotides) under uncultured bacterium. Its description in RNAcentral is "partial 16S ribosomal RNA". It matches the Rfam family "Bacterial small subunit ribosomal RNA", at positions 29 to 507 of the family's 1533-position model. The record is from RNAcentral.
AUGAACGCUGGCGGCGUGCCUAAUACCUGCAAGUCGAGCGAACGGACGAGAAGCUUGCUUCUCUGAUGUUAGCGGCGGACGGGUAAGUAACACGUGGAUAACCUACCUAUAAGACUGGGAUAACUUCGGGAAACCGGAGCUAAUACCGGAUAAUAUUUUGAACCGCAUGGUUCAAAAGUGAAAGACGGUCUUGCUGUCACUUAUAGAUGGAUCCGCGCUGCAUUAGCUAGUUGGUAAGGUAACGGCUUACCAAGGCAACGAUGCAUAGCCGACCUGAGAGGGUGAUCGGCCACACUGGAACUGAGACACGGUCCAGACUCCUACGGGAGGCAGCAGUAGGGAAUCUUCCGCAAUGGGCGAAAGCCUGACGGAGCAACGCCGCGUGAGUGAUGAAGGUCUUCGGAUCGUAAAACUCUGUUAUUAGGGAAGAACAUAUGUGUAAGUAACUGUGCACAUCUUGACGGUACCUAAUCAGAAAGCCACGGCUAACUACGUG